CGGGGCGUAGCGCAGUUUGGUCAGCGCGCAUGUUUUGGGAACAUGAGGCCGCGAGUUCGAAUCUCGCCGCCCCGACCA
RNAcentral lists this transfer RNA (78 nucleotides) under Armatimonadota bacterium. Its description in RNAcentral is "Armatimonadetes bacterium (groundwater metagenome) tRNA-Pro". It matches the Rfam family "tRNA". Rfam says of the family: Transfer RNA (tRNA) molecules are approximately 80 nucleotides in length. The record is from RNAcentral. Lineage: Bacteria; Bacillati; Armatimonadota.